Long non-coding RNA from Pogona vitticeps (central bearded dragon), 2330 nucleotides. Lineage: Eukaryota; Metazoa; Chordata; Lepidosauria; Squamata; Agamidae. The record is from Ensembl.
GCGGACGGCGACUCUGGGCGGGAAACAGGAGCUGCUGCGCCGAGGCGAAGAAAAUUAUGUAAGAGUUCACCACGACGAUCAAAGGUGAGGAAGAGGGCCCCCCCUGAGCCCCCAAAUGUGCGCGUGUCUGCGCGCCCGUGUGGACGCGUUUCCCCCUCGAAGCUCGGAGAGCCGAAAGCGCGCGCGCGGGAAUCUCCUCAGGCAGCCAAACUUUCUCCCUCGGUGGAAAAACCGCUCGGGCGGGCGACCAGCUGGAUUCAGAAGCGACUCAAACAGGUGCAAGGCGGAAAGGGCUGGAGAAGGAGCGACGGGGGGGAGGAGAGAGAGAGAGAGGGAGAGAGAGAGAGAGAGAGUCACGGCUGCUCCACUUUGGCCAGAAGGUGGGAGGCAACGGGGUGUGUGCCCGGCUCUCGGCGCCUUUCCACGGUCCUCCGCGUUACCCCGCGCGCGUUCCGCAGAAAUGCAAGGCUGACUCCCCUCGUUUAAGCUGCUGCUGAAGUGAUCUAAUGUGCCCCCCCUUCACUAACUUCCACAGGGAGAGGGGGGGGGAGAGAGAGAGAGAGAGAGAGAGAGGAGGGAGCAAGCGAGCGAGCGUGUGUGACUCGCAUCCGCUGGUCCCAAGUGAACAGAGGAAAAGAGACAGGAAAUGCCCCCUCCCCCUCUCCCACCUCCGCCCCACGUAGAAACGAGAGAGAGAGAGAGGGAGGGAGAGAGGGAGAGAGAGAGAGAAAGAGAAGUAAUUAAAUGACAAAGCGCGCGGGGGGGGGAGCCAGAGAGAGGGAGGGGGUGAAUGAGAAGGAAAGAAGGAAGGAAGGAAGGAAAGAAAGAAAACCGUAAAGACGAGGGAGGGGAGGGCGAGGGGAGGGUGGGAAGCAAAGCGCCUCCAGCCAGGCAGCAGCAGAACUUGCGCCGUAAUUUGUUCUCCGCGGUUUUCCCUCCUCUCGCUCGGGAGGAAUCAGGAAAGGAGGAGCAGCAGCCGGGAGAGGCAUCCAGCAAAGAGCCCCGCAGCCAUACACGGCGCACCGAAGCGGGAUUAAAUGACUUUGCCUUGGCCAAUCGGAGCGCGUCGGCGGGGGAUUAUUUGCAUGGCGCACUCGGGAGUGACGUCCGGAGCAGACUGCCAAGAGAGUACAGGCUUCAAACGAUGCAUGGCUACUCUGCUCAGAGAAGAAACAGACCUGCUUCAAGUCAGAUGAGGUCAUGCAACUUCCCUGGGUUACUCUGGAUGAACAAUUUUUUUCCAAAAGAUUCAGCAAACACUCCUUAUUGUACCAGCUCCCAACAACCAAGCCCAGAACUUCUGUAUUUGGGGAAAAAAAGUCACUGCUGAUAUGUGGUGAUGUCACCAGUUAUUUAUAACAGGUACAGUAAACUGAAAUUUUGCAUGAACUCCAUCUAAGUUCAAGCAGUAUUGUUUAUGUAUAUAUUUAUUUUGCAUAGAUUCUGUUUUUCAUCCUGUGAGUCCAAGGUGGCCUACAUGGCUCUUCUACACCUGAUUUUAUAAUCUCAACACACCUGAGAGGAAGGUCAGGCUGAGACAGAGUGACUGGCCCCUUACCCAGAGAGUUUCAUGGGUGACUGGGGACUAGAAUCUGGAACUUCCGAGUCCCAAUCCCAAACUCUCACCAGUUUGACAAGUAGCCUGAAGAGGAUCCAUUCUGGUUUCUCUACUGGAAUUGGUUCUCCCAGCAUAACUCAGGGAGGUUACAUGACUGUUGAACACAUCUUUAAAUCCUUAGCAUAAACAUCUUUCAACAGAAGCUGAGGUGAAUUACACUGCGGUAACUAUUAGUACUGGUGGAAUAUGCAGAGAUUUCUUCUCAAAGUAUUCAUAAAAAUGCAGUUACGUAUUAGUACAGUACACUACACUGUAGAGAACAUCAAGAGAUUAGUGAUGGUGGAAUUCCUCAGUUAACUGGUUAAAUCUACCAUUAAAUCUAUAAUCCAAAUCAUUCCAUUUAAAGACUGUAGGCCCAUCAAAUAAGCACAAAUAAGCAUAUAUAUUGAGUGAGAAGGAUCCGGAUAUAACGUGAUAAGUUUAUGACGCGGUUUGUUCACUUCCUGAAGUAAAAGACAAUGUUUCAUGUCAUUGGUUGGCCAUUAGGACAUUUAAGAACUCGAAGACACAGACAUCAUUUACCCGCCCUGCACAAAUCCCCAUCCCCCAGUUUAAACAUUGGCCCCAAAAUAUCCACCCCUAUUCCUUUCUUAUUACAGAGAAGCCAAACAACAUGGAAACAAAUUGAUUCUUUAAAUGAUUCCUUAGAUGUCCCCUUUUCUUGCACCCAAUUGAUUUGUGUGUGCUUUCCUUCCCCGUGCUCUGAAUAAUG